Molecule: long non-coding RNA, 962 nt
Organism: Triticum aestivum (bread wheat)
Lineage: Eukaryota; Viridiplantae; Streptophyta; Magnoliopsida; Poales; Poaceae
Exons: 2
Source: RefSeq, a predicted model, not a curated record
CAUUGAGUGUGCGGUGCGGAAAUGUUAUCAGAAUUAGAAUAGUUAUUCUGCUAAUAUUAGCAUAAUAGACCGGCUGUAUAUAUAUUUGUAUCACGGCGUCCCUAUGUAGGCCCGAUCAGUCUUUCCCGAGAUCCACAGAAAACCAACUGCGCCGGCCCGUCCCGAUCCCAGAAUCCCCACGGCGGCGCGGAUCCACCCCCAACCCACCUCCAGCCCCCGGCUCCGGCGACGCGCCUCUCGCCGACGACCCUGCCGGCCCGACGCGCCUCUCGCGGCCGCCGCCCCAGCCCCGGCGCGCCUCUCGCGGCCACCGCCCCAGCCCUGGAGCGCCUCCCGGCGCCGGGCCCCAUCCCCAGCGCACCUCUUUCCAUUCCCAAAUCGCCUCCCGCCGCCGCCCUCGAUCCCCACCACACCCCCACCGCCGCACAUUCGCCGGCCACUGCAUCCCCUGGCUCGGCUGCACACGACCGGGAUCCCCCAUCUCCCAGCUAACCUUGCAGCUGCACGCCUUCUCGCUCGUCCUAAGGUUGGGCGUUAUGUGAACUGCGGACGGAUCAGUGGUUGGACCAGCAGCAGUUUACUGUACCAACGCGGUUGAUCCCACCUGGCACACGUUCGUCUCUGUCGACGGCGGUCAGCACGUCAAAAACAUGACAGACCCACCCCUAGCUUCUGUUGCUUCCACGGCAACUGCUCAUGCGCACCUCGAACGCAUAACGAGCUGUCCCCUGGUUCUUCUUCUGCUCAUGGAGUUGGAGCGUGCUGCAACUUCCUUUCAUUUCUGAAACUCAUAUCCCUCCAAUUUAGUCCACGUAUUAUUCUUGUAGGUAGAUUUGAACAAUCUAAAACUGGAAAAAGAAUGCGUCAGUAUAGCUACUCAUUAGAAAAUGGUCAAGUGUAUGUUGCUUUUGUGGUUUUUGUGUGUGCUCGUAUUUGCAUAAUUUACCUCAAAUGAAAAUUCA